UCAUGAUAUCAAGCUUGGCUUGGUGUUGGGCCCUUUGUCACCUGGUGACAGGUCCGAAAGACAAUGACUGGUGUAACAGACUCCAUAUGCAACGAGCUUCUAACAGCACGCAUUUGGCAGUUGUGUGGCCCGGUUUUUCACCCCUUUUUUCUCAA
This 155-nucleotide unclassified non-coding RNA is filed under the name uncultured Eurotiomycetes. RNAcentral describes it as "sequence contains ITS2". The record is from RNAcentral. Lineage: Eukaryota; Fungi; Ascomycota; Eurotiomycetes.